This 428-nucleotide ribosomal RNA is filed under the name Verrucomicrobiota bacterium. RNAcentral's name for it is "Verrucomicrobia bacterium partial 16S ribosomal RNA". It matches the Rfam family "Bacterial small subunit ribosomal RNA", at positions 355 to 776 of the family's 1533-position model. Lineage: Bacteria; Pseudomonadati; Verrucomicrobiota. The record is from RNAcentral.
UAGGGAAUCUUCCGCAAUGGACGAAAGUCUGACGGAGCAACGCCGCGUGAGUGAAGAAGGAUUUCGGUUCGUAAAACUCUGUUGUUAGGGAAGAAAAAAUGUAUAGUAACUAUAUACAAAAGAGACGGUACCUAACCAGAAAGCCACGGCUAACUACGUGCCAGCAGCCGCGGUAAUACGUAGGUGGCAAGCGUUGUCCGGAAUUAUUGGGCGUAAAGCGCGCGCAGGUGGUUUAGAAAGUCUGAAGUGAAAGGCAGUGGCUCAACCAUUGUAGGCUUUGGAAACUGUUUAACUUGAGUGCAGAAGGGGAGAGUGGAAUUCCAUGUGUAGCGGUGAAAUGCGUAGAUAUAUGGAGGAACACCGGUGGCGAAAGCGGCUCUCUGGUCUGUAACUGACGCUGAGGCUCGAAAGCGUGGGGAGCGAACAGG